CAAUGCUUGUAGAAGUGGCACAAUCCCACAACACUAUGUUGUUGGGACUUUCUGCUCAGCAGAGGCUUCAGUAAGCACUCAGCUUCUUCAAAUGUGUUUUGGGAGCCAUAUUGAAUAAAUGGCACUCUUCUUCCCAGUGUUUUUCCAGAAAUCUCAGGCAUCUCCACUUCCACAUUGAUUGCCACAAGAUGUUGAAUAACAGCUGCCACUGAAGAACCUUUAGAAACAUCAACUAUUCAUGCUAUGCCUGGUUGGUAGCAACAAGGGGAGAAGAAACGGACCUUCACAGCAGCUUCACCAUAGAUGGAGAGCAUCACCAGAUAAACUUUACCAGGUCCCGUCUGCCAUCAGAAAUAUGUCCGCUUUCAGCUGAGGAGACAACCUUCUCCACUGCCGCACCUGCUUAGAGAAAUCCUUCCCCAUGGAUUUUAUUUGUUAAAAUUUACACAGUGUUAUUGUUGCCAAAUUUUACCCACUGCUUGUU
Non-coding RNA from Pogona vitticeps (central bearded dragon), 484 nucleotides. The record is from RefSeq and is a predicted model, not a curated record. NCBI's taxonomy places the organism in Eukaryota, Metazoa, Chordata, Lepidosauria, Squamata, Agamidae.